UAGGGAAUUUUCGUCAAUGGGCGCAAGCCUGAACGAGCAAUGCCGCGUGAGUGAGGAAGGUCUUCGGAUCGUAAAGCUCUGUUGACGGGGGAAAAAGGAAGCAGAAAGGAAAUGGUCUGCUUUUGAUGGUACCCCGCCAGAAAGUCACGGCUAACUACGUGCC
This 163-nucleotide ribosomal RNA is filed under the name uncultured bacterium. RNAcentral describes it as "partial 16S ribosomal RNA". It matches the Rfam family "Bacterial small subunit ribosomal RNA", at positions 355 to 509 of the family's 1533-position model. The record is from RNAcentral.